UCAGCUUCUCAGCCUUUUGGCUAAGAUCAUGUGUAGUAUAUGUCUUUAAAAGGUUCACAAUGGAUUUGUGAAAUAUAUUAUUAUAAUUUUUGAAAGAUAUAUAUAUAUAUAUAUAUAUAUAUAUAUAUAUAUAUAUAUUGGGGCCCCGGUGGCGAAGUGCGUUAAAGCACUGAGCUGGAGACCGAAAGGUCCCAGGUUCA
Molecule: small nuclear RNA, 200 nt
Organism: Anolis carolinensis (green anole)
Lineage: Eukaryota; Metazoa; Chordata; Lepidosauria; Squamata; Anolidae
Gene: U2
Rfam family: U2 spliceosomal RNA
About the family: U2 is a small nuclear RNA (snRNA) component of the spliceosome (involved in pre-mRNA splicing). Complementary binding between U2 snRNA (in an area lying towards the 5' end but 3' to hairpin I) and the branchpoint sequence (BPS) of the intron results the bulging out of an unpaired adenosine, on the BPS, which initiates a nucleophilic attack at the intronic 5' splice site, thus starting the first of two transesterification reactions that mediate splicing.
Source: Ensembl